This 711-nucleotide ribosomal RNA is filed under the name Synalpheus cf. paraneomeris KMH-2014. RNAcentral's name for it is "bacterial SSU rRNA". It matches the Rfam family "Eukaryotic small subunit ribosomal RNA", at positions 564 to 1231 of the family's 1831-position model. The record is from RNAcentral. Lineage: Eukaryota; Metazoa; Arthropoda; Malacostraca; Decapoda; Alpheidae.
GUGCCAGCAGCCGCGGUAAUUCCAGCUCCAAUAGCGUAUAUUAAAGUUGUUGCGGUUAAAAAGCUCGUAGUCUGAGUUCAGUUCCGGACUGGUCGGGGAGGUCACCGCCCGGUGCUUGCCCGUAUCAGGUUCCGAACCGCCCACCCGCCGCGUGCGGGGGCCAAGCCGGUUCAGCCGGGGUGCUCUUGACCGAGUGUCCCGCGCGGCCGGCCGCUUCACCUUGAACAAAUGAGAGUGCUCAAAGCAGGCUACUCUUGACACUAAAGCCCGAAUGUUAACUGCAUGGAAUGAUGGAAGAUGAUCUCGGUUCCAUUUUGCUGGGCCCCUUUGGGAAUCCGAGUUAAUGAUAAACAGGGACUGUCGGGGGCAUCCGUACUACGACGCGAGAGGUGAAAUUCAGUGACCGUCGUAGGACGAACAACAGCGAAAGCAUUUGCCAAGAAUGUCUUCGUUGAUCAAGAACGAAAGUUAGAGGAUCGAAGGCGAUCAGAUACCGCCCUAGUUCUAACCCUAAACGAUGCUGACCAGCUAUUCGUUAGCGUUAUUCCCAUGACGUGGCGAGACGCCCCCGGGAAACCUCGAGUCUUUGAGUUCCGGGGGUAGUAUGGUUGCAAAACUGAAACUUAAAGGAAUUGACGGAAGGGCACCACCAGGAGUGGAGCCUGCGGCUUAAUUUGACUCAACACGGGAAACCUCACCAGGCCCGGACAC